UGGAGUAUGAGGCAAGCAUAGACACACACACAUGUUAGGUCCCCCGAAAGAAGAGCAAUAUGGGCGAUAGUGAAAGCAGGCAAAAGAAGCAAGAAGAAGCAAGAGGAGACGAGCAUCCGAAAGCGGUGUAAUAGUGGCGAAGAAAGGAGGCAAAGAAGUGAAGGAAUGAGCCCAGGCAGCACCCCGCGGGAAGGCGAAGUAAAGAUGGGAAUGGAAGGACCCCGAAUGACAUAUGAGGGAUCCCGCCCACAAACGGCAGCCGGAUGGAUGGAUAGGAUGAAU
Molecule: non-coding RNA, 282 nt
Organism: Caenorhabditis elegans
Lineage: Eukaryota; Metazoa; Nematoda; Chromadorea; Rhabditida; Rhabditidae
Source: Ensembl